GUCUCUGUAGCGCAAUGGGUAGCGCGUUGGACUUCUAAUCCAAAGGUCGUGAGUUCAAAUCCUACCUGGGAGG
RNAcentral lists this transfer RNA (73 nucleotides) under Trichonephila clavata. It matches the Rfam family "tRNA". Rfam says of the family: Transfer RNA (tRNA) molecules are approximately 80 nucleotides in length. Their secondary structure includes four short double-helical elements and three loops (D, anti-codon, and T loops). Further hydrogen bonds mediate the characteristic L-shaped molecular structure. tRNAs have two regions of fundamental functional importance: the anti-codon, which is responsible for specific mRNA codon recognition, and the 3' end, to which the tRNAs corresponding amino acid is attached (by aminoacyl-tRNA synthetases). tRNAs cope with the degeneracy of the genetic code in two manners: having more than one tRNA (with a specific anti-codon) for a particular amino acid; and 'wobble' base-pairing, i.e. permitting non-standard base-pairing at the 3rd anti-codon position. Lineage: Eukaryota; Metazoa; Arthropoda; Arachnida; Araneae; Nephilidae. The record is from Rfam by way of RNAcentral.